CCUACGGGAGGCAGCAGUGAGGAAUAUUGGUCAAUGGACGAGAGUCUGAACCAGCCAAGUAGCGUGAAGGAUGACUGCCCUAUGGGUUGUAAACUUCUUUUAUAUGGGAAUAAAAUGUUCCACGUGUGGGAUUUUGUAUGUACCAUAUGAAUAAGGAUCGGCUAACUCCGUGCCAGCAGCCGCGGUAAUACGGAGGAUCCGAGCGUUAUCCGGAUUUAUUGGGUUUAAAGGGAGCGUAGGUGGAUUGUUAAGUCAGUUGUGAAAGUUUGCGGCUCAACCGUAAAAUUGCAGUUGAAACUGGCAGUCUUGAGUACAGUAGCGGUGGGCGGAAUUCGUGGUGUAGCGGUGAAAUGCGUAGAGAUCACGAAGAACUCCGAUUGCGAAGGCAGUUCACUGGACUGCAACUGACACUGAGGCUCGAAAGCGUGGGUAUCGAACAGGAUUAGAUACCCUAGUAGUC
RNAcentral lists this ribosomal RNA (460 nucleotides) under uncultured bacterium. RNAcentral's name for it is "partial 16S ribosomal RNA". It matches the Rfam family "Bacterial small subunit ribosomal RNA", at positions 338 to 795 of the family's 1533-position model. The record is from RNAcentral.